GUAGGUAUGUAAUCCAAAAGCCCCGCCCGAACUUCUAGUGAUGAAUGCUAACGUUUCUCUAGGUGAACCUGCGGAAGGAUCAUUAAAGAGUUAGGGUCUUCUAGGCCUGACCUCCCAACCCCAUGUUUAUUGAACCUUUUGUUGCUUCGGCGGACCCGUCUCACGGCCGCCGGAGGAUCGCUUAACGGCAUCCUCUGGCCCGCGUCCGCCGAUAGCCAACCACUUAAACCCUGAAUAAAUCGUGUCAUAU
RNAcentral lists this unclassified non-coding RNA (250 nucleotides) under plant metagenome. Its description in RNAcentral is "partial contains small subunit ribosomal RNA, internal transcribed spacer 1, and 5.8S ribosomal RNA". The record is from RNAcentral.